UGACCAUUCCAAUCAAUCAUGUCUCUUUAUGUUGUCAUUAUUAACUCAUGAAUGAAUUUGUUACAGCAGUUGCUCAAGUGUGUGAAAUGUAGGCAGCACCAACUAGUUGGGACUAGAGCUUAGUCGUGCUGGUACAUUUACAUCAGGCUGAUUUUUUCAAGGAGUCUUUUAGAUUGUUUAUUAGAAAGUUGCAUGUCGGUAGAAAAUAAGAAACUUUAGUCGUUAGAGAACCCAACUUUGUUUCAAAACACAACUUAUUUAGGAAUGGGAUGAAGUCCAAAUGGAGUGGCAGGGACAUGGAAUUCAUAUAGCCAACCAAAUAGUUUGCAAUUGAGUCGUUGUUAUUGUCUAAAUGCUGGAAUGAUGAUGCAUCUGGUUUACUGCUUUUGAGCUGCUUCCACUGAAGCAAGCUAAAGUUGGAAAAUUUUGAGUGCAUAAUUUUCUCCUUUAAUAUGUCAUGCUUGAUGGAUUAGUUCUCAAUUGGGUUCUGCUGGACUAGCUCUUAUUGGCUUCUAUCAACUACUUGGGCUAUGACCAGAUCAUUUUUACACGGAAUGGAGGAAUCCUUCUUCCUUUCGACAUUUAUGAUGGCACUUCUAUGGUCAAAUAGACGGGAAUUAGAGGUGUUAUUCUAGUAGAGUUUACCUUGGCGAUAUCUUUGUUAUCAGUUAUUCAGUUCAUCCUAUAUAAAAAAUUUAAAAAGAAGCAGAAGAAAAAGUUAUCAUGUUUGAUGCUCUUUUUUGGGCUUUAUAAUCCGAGAGAAAGAAACAGGAACAUGAGAUCUCUUUAUCAUGAGAAUAUCAUCUCAGUUGUGCCUUUGGUUUAGGAUCUUAUAUAUCUAGAUUUGGUAGCUCGCAUCUCUUAUGUUGUAUUGCAACUUACUUUGCAGAAAAGUUCAACCCCCAUUGUCAAUCAAAGAUCAAGAAGAGAAGGCGAAGAGGAGUGAGUUUGUUCAAGGAUUGCUAUUGUCCACCAUUCUGGAUGAUAAUUUAUGAAAGGUUGACAAGGCUGCCGGCCCCCCACGUUCACCAGCUUACUGAUAAAGCCGUGUGGUUAGUGGUCUGUCCUAGUGCGCAUGGUGGUAUUAUGUAAUCCAACCGUGGAAUAAGAUGUAGUAAUCCAUGUAAUUUAUCUUGUAGAAUUUAGUUGAUAUGCAGCGGAGUCAUGUAUCUCCUUUUUAUUGCAGUUCAUGCUACGAUAAAGAAUAUAAUAAACGUUUGAGUUAGUGCUGUACUGCAAUUUAUAUUUUUGGAAAUCAAUGUAAUAUAUACUUGUAUUCUAGAAACACUGGGAAGAAAGGUGAAGGUAAGCACGAACACGAAUAAAAUUGGAUAUUGAACAUCCUAGUAACUGGACGUAGAGGCAAAUGGAACUUCCUAGUUAUAAUUUGGUGCAGCAAUAGGUUGGUCAUUUUUUUAUUUUAUUAGCCAUUUGAUAUCAUGUAAAUUGUAAUGGCUCUCUCUUUUGGUUGUAACUUCCCCAGCAGCCUCUUUCGAUCAAAGAUACACUUUACCUAUAUUAAGAAAAUUGUGAUGUGGGA
This 1540-nucleotide long non-coding RNA is filed under the name Nicotiana tabacum (common tobacco). RNAcentral's name for it is "long non-coding RNA (NTAB_LNC008868)". Lineage: Eukaryota; Viridiplantae; Streptophyta; Magnoliopsida; Solanales; Solanaceae. The record is from RNAcentral.